GGCUUUAGAUCACAAUGAACAAUCGGUUUAUGGCAGUGGUAGUGGAGAUAAUCUAGCGCAUUGGCAACAUCGAUGGCAAUGUCUAUUCUUUGGAGAAGGCUUAGACUGUAAAGAUCAUCAAUUGGCAUAACACCUAUUUUUGAAGUUAGAUGCAGCCACUUCUCUAGGUUCCCAUUUGGCAUGUAUUCAUAAAUAAGUGCCUUAAAUUCAUUUCCCUGAAAAUCAAUACUUGAACAAGAAGUU
RNAcentral lists this unclassified non-coding RNA (243 nucleotides) under Hevea brasiliensis (rubber tree). Lineage: Eukaryota; Viridiplantae; Streptophyta; Magnoliopsida; Malpighiales; Euphorbiaceae. The record is from RNAcentral.